Molecule: ribosomal RNA, 540 nt
Filed under: Triticum aestivum (bread wheat)
Lineage: Eukaryota; Viridiplantae; Streptophyta; Magnoliopsida; Poales; Poaceae
Description: partial small subunit ribosomal RNA
Source: RNAcentral
AUGAUUGCUUUUCGGGAUUCAUUGGAGAUCUGUGGCCUAGUCGACCUUGGCUUCGUUGGUGUGCCCUUUACAUAUGAUAACAAGAGGGGAGGAGGAGGUAAUGUUAAGGUAAGGCUGGAUAGGGCAGUUGCAACUAAUGCGUGGAGGAACAUGUUUGCCUAUGCUUCUGUGGUGCAUGUUCCUUCGCCCUGCUCAAAUCAUGUGGCCCUUGUCCUAAAGGGCUCGGCCGACCUGGGACCGCUAGGUGGUAAGCAGAGGAGGUACGAAGUGUUUUGGGAGCGUGAUGAGUCCCUGCCUGAGGUGAUAAAGGAAGCCUGGGAGGCAGGGGGAGUUCAUAAUAUGGCUCAGUUGCGGGAUGCUCUUUCUAAAACAAUGGCAGCUCUUAGGGUGUGGAGCAAAAAAAUUGGUAAUAUUACAAGGGAGCUUGCCAAGUCCCGUACUCAGUUAGAGGAGUUGAUGCAUAUGAAUGCUGAUCGCCAAGAUAUCACAAGAGUGACGGACAAGAUGAACGAGCUUCUGUAUCAAGAAGAGAUGCUUUAG